AUUGAACGCUGGCGGCAGGCCUAACACAUGCCAGUCGAGCGGAUGAAGGGAGCUUGCUCCUGGAUUCAGCGGCGGACGGGUGGGUAAUGCCUAGGAAUCUGCCUGUUAGUGGGGGAUAACGGCCGGAAACGGGCGCUAAUACCGCAUACGUCCUGAGGGAGAAAGUGGGGGAUCUUCGGACCUCACGCUAUCAGAUGAGCCUAUGUCGGAUUAGCGAGUUGGUGGGGUAAAGGCCUACCAAGGCGACGAUCCGUAACUGGUCUGAGAGGAUGAUCAGUCACACUGGAACUGAGACACGGUCCAGACUCCUACGGGAGGCAGCAGUGGGGAAUAUUGGACAAUGGGCGAAAGCCUGAUCCAGCCAUGCCGCGUGUGUGAAGAAGGUCUUCGGAUUGUAAAGCACUUUAAGUUGGGAGGAAGGGCAGUAAGUUAAUACCUUGCUGUUUUGACGGUACCCACAGAAUAAGCACCGGCUAACUUCGUG
RNAcentral lists this ribosomal RNA (484 nucleotides) under uncultured bacterium. RNAcentral describes it as "partial 16S ribosomal RNA". It matches the Rfam family "Bacterial small subunit ribosomal RNA", at positions 30 to 507 of the family's 1533-position model. The record is from RNAcentral.